CAGUAGCCACGGUAAUACGGAGGGAGCUAGCGUUGUUCGGAAUUACUGGGCGUAAAGCGCGCGUAGGCGGUUACUCAAGUCAGAGGUGAAAGCCCGGGGCUCAACCCCGGAACUGCCUUUGAAACUAGGUGACUAGAAUCUUGGAGAGGUCAGUGGAAUUCCGAGUGUAGAGGUGAAAUUCGUAGAUAUUUGGAAGAACACCAGUGGCGAAGGCGACUGACUGGACAAGUAUUGACGCUGAGGUGCGAAAGCGUGGGGAGCAAACAGGAUUAGAUACCCGGGUAGUCCCUGUCUCUUAUAA
Molecule: ribosomal RNA, 301 nt
Filed under: uncultured bacterium
Lineage: Bacteria
Description: partial 16S ribosomal RNA
Rfam family: Bacterial small subunit ribosomal RNA
Source: RNAcentral